Non-coding RNA from Dendrothele bispora CBS 962.96, 103 nucleotides. The record is from the annotation of a GenBank genome assembly. Lineage: Eukaryota; Fungi; Basidiomycota; Agaricomycetes; Agaricales.
GGCGCUAUAGCCAAGUGGUUACGGCGACAGAUUCGAAUGAAAACGGUACCGUAAGAGAAUCUGUUCCUCUUUGAGGGCGCAGGUUCAAAUCCUGCUGGCGUCG